Molecule: long non-coding RNA, 1373 nt
Organism: Helianthus annuus (common sunflower)
Lineage: Eukaryota; Viridiplantae; Streptophyta; Magnoliopsida; Asterales; Asteraceae
Exons: 4
Source: RefSeq, a predicted model, not a curated record
UUUCCCUUAUCCCUCCCUCUCUCUCGCGAAUACAUAAAACAAAACAAACACUGAAGUCCUUUUCCCUCUCACACAGCACAAAUCAAAGAAACCCCCCCACCCACUCGUUUCUUCUCCGGUGAGACCACCGGCGGAACCGUUGCCGGUAUACCGCCCAGCCGCACCCCCUUCUUCUCCGACGCGACACCGCUACCCCCUUCAUCUUCUCCGGUCGGAUUUACGGCAGACACCAUCAACCGCCCCCCUGUUCUUGACUAAUUGAACCACCGACUACCACCCCUCUAGUGGUGGCACGCAGCGACGCGAGAGAGAGAGGAGACGAGAGAGAGAAGCAGGUUAGAGAUGGAAGUUUAACGGCUGCAACAGUGGUGGCACUCGAUAGAACCGUCGGCGACGGCGCCGCCGUGACGGCAGCGGUGGUGUUUCGACUCCGACGAGGCAACUGGUAAACCCUUCACCUUCCUACAUUUCGGUUCCUUUCUUUCGAUCUAAUGUAGGUUAAUACUGACAAUGUUCCGUUUGUUCGGGUCGAGUCUGGUUCGUGUUUCGACUCGGUUUGGUUUGGAUCUUGGCUCAGCUUAGCUCCGAUUCAGUUUUGGUUCUCGGUUUGUUUCGACUCACGCAGUUCGGUUCAGAUUCGGAUCGAUUUGGUUCAGAUCCGGUUCAGUCGAGUUCAAUCGGUUCGGUUCGAUGCCCGGGUCAAACCUGGUCAAACUUGGUCAACUGAGGUCUCGAUGCACUCGGUAGUUCAACGACGGUGACCUCGGUGUUCCACCCUCCAAAUCUUUUACGCUCGUCAACACUUGGAUAAUCGGAAGACUUAGCAAUUAUGUGUCCAAUAUCCUCUAGAACUUGCUGCAGUCAGAGAAGAGAUCAAAUCCUUCUACUUUGAGGAUGACCCUGCUAAAAGGAGUUUGCCAUCAGUUGAAGGAUAUCCCAGGCCUAACAACAUUGAAGAAUAUUUGAAAGUUAAGGCUCAAUAGGCAAAGGUGGGUGUGUAGAGGUUUAGGAGUUUAGUAGGUAAUAUGUUGUGUAAGUAUGAGGCGGUGUGUAGAGCUUCGACCCAAAACACGGGGGUAGGUUUGCAUGGAUAAGGAGGGCGCGUAUGAUAUCAUUUAGACGACGAAUCAUACGUUCGGCCCGUCCAUUCUGUGAGGAGGUUUGAGGACACGAGAAACGAAAUAGCAAGCCAUGGUGAUUGGCAAAGCUUUUGAAGGCAUGAUUAUCAAAUUCGCCCCCAAGAUCGCAUUGAAAAGUUUUUAUCUUUCUUUGAAAUUGUGUUGCAAUUAGUUUGUGAAAUUUAGCAAAGGUGGGAAAGGCCUCGGAUUUAAAUUUAAGUGGGUAUGCCCAAACAAAGUGGGAAAAAUUGUCAA